UAACGCGAAAGGGACUUCGGUCCUGAGUAAUGUGGCGCACGGGUGAGUAACGCGUGGAUAAUCUACCCGACGGACCGGGAUAACAUUUCGAAAGGGGUGCUAAUACCGGAUAAGACCACGGCUUCUUAGGGGGCUGCGGUAAAAGGUGGGGACCUUCGGGCCUACCGUCAUCGGAUGAGUCCGCGUACCAUUAGCUAGUUGGUAGGGUAAGGGCCUACCAAGGCGACGAUGGUUAGCUGGUCUGAGAGGAUGAUCAGCCAUACUGGAACUGAGACACGGUCCAGACUCCUACGGGAGGCAGCAGUGGGGAAUUUUGCGCAAUGGGGGAAACCCUGACGCAGCAACGCCGCGUGAGUGAUGAACGCCUUCGGGUCGUACAGCUCUGUCAGAGGGGAAGAAAUGCAGGGGUGCUAAUAUCAUCUUUGCUUGACGGUACCCUCAAAGGAAGCACCGGCUAACUCCGUGCCAGCAGCCGCGGUAAUACGGAGGGUGCGAGCG
RNAcentral lists this ribosomal RNA (498 nucleotides) under uncultured Pelobacter sp. RNAcentral describes it as "bacterial SSU rRNA". It matches the Rfam family "Bacterial small subunit ribosomal RNA", at positions 64 to 540 of the family's 1533-position model. The record is from RNAcentral. Lineage: Bacteria; Pseudomonadati; Thermodesulfobacteriota; Desulfuromonadia; Desulfuromonadales; Desulfuromonadaceae.